UUUUUUUGAGAAUUUGAUCCUAGUUCAGGGUGAACGCUAGCGGCGUGCCUAAGGUAUGCAA
RNAcentral lists this ribosomal RNA (61 nucleotides) under candidate division WWE3 bacterium RIFCSPHIGHO2_12_FULL_38_15. Its description in RNAcentral is "partial 16S ribosomal RNA". The record is from RNAcentral. Lineage: Bacteria; candidate division WWE3.